This 1556-nucleotide ribosomal RNA is filed under the name Escherichia coli. Its description in RNAcentral is "bacterial SSU rRNA". It matches the Rfam family "Bacterial small subunit ribosomal RNA". The record is from RNAcentral. Lineage: Bacteria; Pseudomonadati; Pseudomonadota; Gammaproteobacteria; Enterobacterales; Enterobacteriaceae.
UUAAAUUGAAGAGUUUGAUCAUGGCUCAGAUUGAACGCUGGCGGCAGGCCUAACACAUGCAAGUCGAACGGUAACAGGAAGAAGCUUGCUUCUUUGCUGACGAGUGGCGGACGGGUGAGUAAUGUCUGGGAAACUGCCUGAUGGAGGGGGAUAACUACUGGAAACGGUAGCUAAUACCGCAUAACGUCGCAAGACCAAAGAGGGGGACCUUCUGGCCUCUUGCCAUCGGAUGUGCCCAGAUGGGAUUAGCUAGUAGGUGGGGUAACGGCUCACCUAGGCGACGAUCCCUAGCUGGUCUGAGAGGAUGACCAGCCACACUGGAACUGAGACACGGUCCAGACUCCUACGGGAGGCAGCAGUGGGGAAUAUUGCACAAUGGGCGCAAGCCUGAUGCAGCCAUGCCGCGUGUAUGAAGAAGGCCUUCGGGUUGUAAAGUACUUUCAGCGGGGAGGAAGGGAGUAAAGUUAAUACCUUUGCUCAUUGACGUUACCCGCAGAAGAAGCACCGGCUAACUCCGUGCCAGCAGCCGCGGUAAUACGGAGGGUGCAAGCGUUAAUCGGAAUUACUGGGCGUAAAGCGCACGCAGGCGGUUUGUUAAGUCAGAUGUGAAAUCCCCGGGCUCAACCUGGGAACUGCAUCUGAUACUGGCAAGCUUGAGUCUCGUAGAGGGGGGUAGAAUUCCAGGUGUAGCGGUGAAAUGCGUAGAGAUCUGGAGGAAUACCGGUGGCGAAGGCGGCCCCCUGGACGAAGACUGACGCUCAGGUGCGAAAGCGUGGGGAGCAAACAGGAUUAGAUACCCUGGUAGUCCACGCCGUAAACGAUGUCGACUUGGAGGUUGUGCCCUUGAGGCGUGGCUUCCGGAGCUAACGCGUUAAGUCGACCGCCUGGGGAGUACGGCCGCAAGGUUAAAACUCAAAUGAAUUGACGGGGGCCCGCACAAGCGGUGGAGCAUGUGGUUUAAUUCGAUGCAACGCGAAGAACCUUACCUGGUCUUGACAUCCACAGAACUUUCCAGAGAUGGAUUGGUGCCUUCGGGAACUGUGAGACAGGUGCUGCAUGGCUGUCGUCAGCUCGUGUUGUGAAAUGUUGGGUUAAGUCCCGCAACGAGCGCAACCCUUAUCCUUUGUUGCCAGCGGUCCGGCCGGGAACUCAAAGGAGACUGCCAGUGAUAAACUGGAGGAAGGUGGGGAUGACGUCAAGUCAUCAUGGCCCUUACGACCAGGGCUACACACGUGCUACAAUGGCGCAUACAAAGAGAAGCGACCUCGCGAGAGCAAGCGGACCUCAUAAAGUGCGUCGUAGUCCGGAUUGGAGUCUGCAACUCGACUCCAUGAAGUCGGAAUCGCUAGUAAUCGUGGAUCAGAAUGCCACGGUGAAUACGUUCCCGGGCCUUGUACACACCGCCCGUCACACCAUGGGAGUGGGUUGCAAAAGAAGUAGGUAGCUUAACCUUCGGGAGGGCGCUUACCACUUUGUGAUUCAUGACUGGGGUGAAGUCGUAACAAGGUAACCGUAGGGGAACCUGCGGUUGGAUCACCUCCUUACCUUAAAGAAGC